Molecule: long non-coding RNA, 41222 nt
Filed under: Pelobates cultripes (western spadefoot toad)
Lineage: Eukaryota; Metazoa; Chordata; Amphibia; Anura; Pelobatidae
Source: RNAcentral
CAGAGGUUGCCGCUUUAAGUGGGCAGCAGGCGGGUCUCCGUGUCAAGGUAUAACUAGUGUCGGGAAGCACAGGGGACCAUAGUACAGAGAAUCACCUGAACCUCAACAUGGCUCCAAACCAGAGGAAAGUGUUCGUGGUGGGAGUGGGGAUGACCAAGGUCAGUCCUGUGGGCAAGCAUGACAGAGGGGUGGGGGUUUAUAAUAAUAAUAAUAAUAAUACUGUGCUUUGUUAUUAUACAGCCUGACCCAUACUGUGCCUUAUUAUUAUUAUACAGCCUGACCCUAUACUGUGCCUUAUUAUACAGCCUGACCCUAUACUGUGCCUUAUUAUUAUACAGCCUGACCCUAUACUGUGCCUUAUUAUUAUUAUUAUUAUUAUACAGCCUGACCCUAUACUGUGCCUUAUUAUUAUUAUACAGCCUGACCCUAUACUGUGCCUUAUUAUUAUACAGCCUGACCCCAUACUGUGCCUUAUUAUACAGCCUGACCCUAUACUGUGCCUUAUUAUUAUACAGCCUGACCCUAUACUGUGCCUUAUUAUACAGCCUGACCCUAUACUGUGCCUUAUUAUACAGCCUGACCCUAUACUGUGCCUUAUUAUACAGCCUGACCCUAUACUGUGCCUUAUUAUUAUACAGCCUGACCCUAUACUGUGCCUUAUUAUUAUACAGCCUGACCCUAUACUGUGCCUUAUUAUUAUACAGUGUGCCUUAUUAUUAUACCCAUACUGUGCCUUAUUAUUAUACAGUCUGACCCAUACUGUGCCUUAUUAUUAUACAGUCUGACCCAUACUGUGCCUUAUUAUUAUACAGCCUGACCCUAUACUGUGCCUUAUUAUUAUACAGUCUGACCCUAUACUGUGCCUUAUUAUUAUUAUACAGCCUGACCCUAUACUGUGCCUUAUUAUUAUACAGCCUGACCUUAUACCGUGCCUUAUUAUUAUACAGUCUGACCUUAUACCGUGCCUUAUUAUUAUACAGUCUGACCCAUACUGUGCCUUAUUAUUAUACAGUCUGACCCAUACUGUGCCUUAUUAUUAUACAGUCUGACCUUAUACUUUGCAUUAUUAUUAUACAGUCUGACCUUAUACUGUGCCUUAUUAUUAUACAGUCUGACCUUAUACUGUGCCUUAUUAUUAUACAGCCUGAUCCAUACUGUGCCUUAUUAUUAUACAGCCUGACCCUAUACUGUGCCUUAUUAUUAUACAGUCUGACCCAUACUGUGCCUUAUUAUUAUACAGCCUGACCCUAUACUGUGCCUUAUUAUUAUACAGUCUGACCCAUACUGUGCCUUAUUAUUAUUAUUAUACAGCCUGACCCUAUACUGUGCCUUAUUAUACAGCCUGACCUAUACUGUGCCUUAUUAUUAUACAGCCUGACCCUAUACUGUAGUUGGGCUGUUGCUGACCAUAUGCUGCAUUUUUGGCAAAUCAUUGGGGUGGGGGUUGUAGUUGGAUAAAUAUUUCCGGUGACCUGGAAUGGGUGGAUGUAUAGUUUGGGCUAUAACAUUGUGCAGUUGAUGUUUAUUUACAGUGACAAGAUCAACACACAGUCUUAGUCAAUCUGUUAGCUGACAUAUAAACAAAUGCAUCUUUAGAGGUAAUAAUCAAUGUCAUGGUUUUCUGAUAGUGCUUGGACUCUGCCCAGAAUGGUAGGAAUGAACUUACCUUUUAUGCAAAAAAAAAAAAAUGAGCAUUGAGCACUUGAGCAUUACGAUCUCUGUUUAAGGAUUUGUAAUGUAUCCACUUGAUCCAGGUAGAUUGUCGAAGGCGAAUAUAUAAUAAUUUUAUUUAAUACGUUUUGGACUAUCUACUUGGAUCCAGCAAUUUACUACAAACUCUUAAAUGGGGAGUGUACCACUCAAGCAGUUCAAAUCAGAGCAAAGUAUCCGCUCCAACUGCAUCUCUUUAUUUAUUUCCCCAUAUCUUAUGAUUAAAUAACCUGCACUGAGGUCAGGUGUGAAUCUCAGUCACAAGCUGUGCCUUGAAGCUUGGAAAUAAUUCCACAAGGAAAUAUUUGUCUGUGGUUGACUAAACAACGAACAGAACAUACUAUUGGCUAAAUCUAAUUAUUCCAAAUUUACAGUUCUACCUUACAUGGCAGAGUUGUAGAUGUACUCUCUCUCUUGCCUCACAUGUUACUUGACACGCUAUUCCUUGUGAUUUCAGACUACAGUGCUUGAGAAUUCCCUGUAUAGCACGAGAGCUCAGUGGUUAUUGCUCCAACUCUAAUAUCUCAUAAUCUCCUGUUUAAUUCAAAUAAAGAUGAAUUGCGCCUUUUAUGCUUUGCAGAAGUGUCAAUAAUCUGAGUCCAAAAUGUGCCUUAAAAAAAAAUAAAAUAUUGAAAAACAGUCCUGCAAUCCUUUCGCCCCUUUUGUGUUUCUUUAAUUUUAGUUGCUAAACACAAGGAACUUAUUGUCUGGUAGGAGCCAUUGCAAAUAGUCACAUCGGAUCCUUGUUCCAAAAAUGUGUAAAAAAAAAAAAAAAAAAAAAUUUGGGGUCAGCACUAUAAGACUAUUUCCUUCUAUGCCACAAUGAGAUGUCUUCUGUCCUGCAUCGCUUUGAUCUGCUCUGAGUAACCAUAAAUCUUCUCUCUCAUAGUUCUUGAAGCCUCAAGAUAAUUUGGAUUAUACAGACUUUGCCAAAGAAGCAGGUAUGAAGUGUUUAUAUUGUCAUUUUGUGUAACAUGCAAACCGCCAAAUUAAAUCAUUAGCUUCAUUACAUUACUUCCAAGUGGUAUUGUCACCUGCAUUUGUUUCCAUAAAAAAGCAUUUUAAACCAUGGAAAGAGAUCAUCUCUGUAAACAAUUGUCAUUUGACAUUAUAAUGUGCAAUGGGCUCAAAGUGCUAGGACUGAUUAUGGUGUAAUCUGUCCAGGAUGGAUGGAAAUGACAUUAAAGGAACACAAACCUUUAUUUCUCACCCUGUAUCGUUAAAGAGAUAGUAGUAGGAGCUGCACUCACCCAGUGCUCUGGAGCAGGACCAGCAAUCCCACAACGAUAUGGCAACAAAGAGAUUAUUCAGGCACUCAAGGUGUUGAAGCCACAGGCAGUUUUAAUGAAACAAAAAGAACCGCAACAUUUCGACCUCCUAAGAGGUCUUUUUCAAGCUUUGUCGCAAUGUUGCUGUUCUUUUUGUUUCAUUAAAACUGCCUGGGGCUUCAACACCUUGAGUGCCUGGAGAAUUUUUGUUGCCUAUAUUGUUAAAAACACCAUAUCGCCCGCCCCCGUCCCUUACCUUUAUUGCAGUUUGCUGUUGCUGGCUCUGCCCCUGAUCUGCCUGCUUGGCUGACAUCAUUAGAAGUUGUGUUCGAAACCAAUCACAAUGCUUUUGAUGUAGAAUUAUUAAAAUCUUUACUGAACUUGUAUUGAAUAAUUGUACUAACUCCAUUUUUAAUCUCACACUAUGACAGAAUUCUCCAUUUUGUUCACCUUACAUGACAGAAUUUCCUGACAGUAUUCAGUAUAAUGAAUAAGAGAUUGUAUUUUCUCUCUCUAAGGACAUGACUAGCCCCGGAGUUAGCGGAUCUCCGUUGACUUGCAACAUAGUAUAAUCCAAGGCCAGGAGAACAGCGACUAAUGAAAUGUUCUAUUCAUAAAAGAACCUUGGACCAGACCACGAGACUGACAUCACUAACUACGUAAAAUGAUGCCCAAGCCCCCCCUUUCCACCGAGUAAGCCUCGUGCUAAAGAGCAAUGGCGACGACAUCCCAUGAUGGGAGGGUGCCUCACUAGUCACUCAAAUCUCUGAGCCAAUUAAUAAUAUUAAUGGGUGGACACUGACAUAGCCACUUAACAUUUAACCCAAUUAAUGAUGUUUAUUUGUUAUUAUCUGAUAUUCAAUGAUGAUGUCAUUUUGCAUAUAAAAAGGCCUGCGUGCCCACUUUUUAACUAGAUGCUAAUAAAUUUCCUGAAGUGUUUUUAACCUGAACUGCAUGUGUCAGUGUAAACUUACUUCUGCGUAUACGCAAUUUAUUCAUCUCAGAUUUGGACAGGAACAGAUAGACUUUUAAACAUUUUUGUUUAUUUCUAAAUUAAUCUACUACAAUUGGCGCUUCCAACAUGGGGCUCUGGGCUAUGUCCUGUCUGGGCAGCUGUCCAAGAAGAUGCUGGGUGGGUGAAUCCUGGGGGAAGGAAAAGAGCCUGAUCACCUCUGAGUACACGGUAGAGAUUGCUGCAGCACCUAGCCGGUAUGUUCCUGCCCCUGUGAUUGACCUGUUCCAGUGUCUGUGACUGCUGCCGAGAGGACAUCAAAGUCAGGUAAUAACUUGCCCAGAGUCUUUGUAUUGUUAAUGAUACUUAAUUUACCUGCAUUUAGUCUAUCUGUUGCCUGGGUGUGCUAGUGGUAUAUGUUUUGUUCUUUCCCUCUUUUGGGAUAAAGGGGGGUGGACCCGUGGGUGGUUGCCUGGGGGUCUUCUGUUGCCUGUUUUUACCCCUUUUUAGGAGUCACUUGGCCCAGACUGUUGGGGAAAAAAGGGGGGGUGGACCUGUGGGGAUUUUCCAAAGGGGUCCUGUUUUCCUGUUUACUUCUUUUAGGUACUGUCUAGCUAACAGUAGUAAGGAAAAAGAAGGGUUGGGGGAUCUGUGGAGGGGACUUGCCUCCUGGGGUUUCCCGGUUACGUCACUUUGAUAUUCUAGCUAGCCUCAUUGUGUACGUUGCUCUGCUUGCAGAGGUUAUGGUACCCUCCAGCUUCGAGCGCUGAGGCUGGUGGCAUUCCAAUUUAUUUGUGGUGUGUGGAUUCGGGCAGGCAUUGUUGUCUCCAUCACCACGGGGUAGUGUGACUUGUGGGUGGGUCCAUAGGGAGCACUACGGGAGUGAGGAUAGAGGUGGCCACACUUAGUGGACUGCUGUAACGAGGGAGGCAUAUGGAUUUCGGGCCGGUGUUAGUCGUUAUCCUUGGCCGCUGGUAGUGAAACUUACGAAAGUUGUUCUCCGAGCGGGGACACUACGAGAUUGAGGGAGGUGGCCCACAAGAGUAAAGGAAAGGGAUUACUGUUGAUGCAUGCACUGUAUUUCAAUUGAAAUGUUGUAUUAAAUGUUGUCUUAAGUGUGGAGUCAUUCAAACUCCUGGGUCUGUCUCUACUUUCACUGUUUACUUUUACUUUACUUCCUGUACUAUUUACACUAUCCACUCCUAUUUCUCUUGAAAGAGAAGUGAUUGGUCACACACUUCUCACCCCGCUCCAAUCCGUGGUUACCAUCGAGGGUACACGGAUUCAGUGACUGGUCUACGUUUUGGGAAGACGCACUGGGAGGGACCCACCCUUCCUAGUGGCAGUCGAGCAUUGUAGACGUUCUGUUUCAUUUUCCUUUACCUAUACUUGGGACGCUUUGUAUAGGGGGAUAUGGGACAGGAAACGAGUAAGCCCGCUAGGGGCUGGCUCGCGUGUGAUUUAGUUGAAGAUAGAGAAGGUGAAGAACUGGUUAAAAAUGUUGCAAAGAUUGCUAAAGUGUGUAAAAUUGCUGUGCCUUCAUGUGGUAGAUUACAACCAGAAAGUUGGCGUAGAUUACUGACAGAGAAGAAAGGCAAGCUUACAGAUAAUGAUUUAUUGCGUACUGCUGAAGCAUGGUACAGAGUAGAAAGGCUAUCCAGCAGGAGGGUUGGGUAGAGGAAGAGAUAAAUCAUAAAGGGUUAAGAACUGUAUGUAUAUCAUAAUAAUUGUGUUACUGGGAAGUUAUCCCAGCCAGUGCCCUGUCGGGGGUUCCAGGAGGUGACCACUUCCAUCAUCCUGUCAGUAAUGACCGAAAUGUAGCUGACCAUGGUCACCAUCCCACCCCAAUCUUAAAACGCUGUGGGGUUUUUGUAUUUUGUGUUAGCCAUUACCCUGGUAGAGGGUGGGGGUUUAAAUGAAAUGUGUUUUUGUGUCUCUUUGCUUUGUAAUGUAAUUGUCCUUCUGUCUUGUUACUGUACAGCGUUGACAUGGUUAAAUUCGUGCUGGCAGGCAGUCUCUCUCUUGUUCCACUCAAAUCCCCCUCUGCUAAAACACCCCCCCCCUCCCCUCGCUUCUGUGAGACGCGGGGGGGAGGGGGCGGAGGGGGGUGGUGACAUGCUUGCGAUUUAGGUCUGUCUCUUCGGUGUUCUGUAGAGUUAUUCAGAAGCUACUGAUAAGAUUUUAGCAAUGGAAUUUUUGCUAGAAAAAAUAUUCUAAUUGUGUAUUUUGUUAUCUCAAUAGAAAUUGAUAGGAUGGUUAGGGAGUGAAUCUGAUGCAGGAAUAGAAGUUAUUAAGUUAGUAUAUGUUUCUAGAGACAGCUUUGUGGGCUGUUAGAUGUAUAAUAUUCACAACUGUCUUAUUUAAUCCGUCAAGUCUGUCCACAGUUCAGAUUUUCAUUUUGCAGAACAGAAUGUUGCUUCUCUGACUUAUUUUAAUAGUUUUAAUAUAGUGUAUUGUUGAAAGUGCAUCAGCCACCACCUUAAAGAUGGCGCCUAGUACAGAAGGAGGUUGACCCUGCCAGUCCCGUGACCUAUCUACAGUCACGGUUGCUUCUAAAGUAACGUCACUUCCGCCCUUACCAUGCCCACACCUCCUGUCUUCCUUUCCCACACCUAUCAUGGACGUCAUCUCACUUCCUCCCUUGCUGUCAUUUCCUUCCCCGCCCCUGUCAUGGCUGCCUCCAUCAUGAGGCCUACCCCUAUUAUGCUCGUCCUAUUUAGAGACAUGUUGUUUUCCUUACACUCUACAUAUUAUGAACAGAAACAUUAUAAUUACUAAAACAAUCAUGCCAUUUGUUUCCCUGUAUCAACAAUGUGUCCGUGAUAUAAAAAAAAAGAAGGUUGCUAAAAUGUAAUUUGCAAAUGUGGUGUGACCUACAAAUGAGAUCUGUUGGACACGAAUAUAAGAGCAUAACAGCUGAUUAUCCAGCUUCAUCUUACAACAAGGGAAAUAGCUAAAUAAUGCAAGUUAUUUUAAACAUUGUAUCUUUACUUAAUCGAAUCUUGCUAGUUACAGAUCGUAUGUUUACAGUAACAUCCUUUACGUUAAAUGAUGGUUUAGCAUUAGAAGGGUUUGUGACAUGUUUUAUUAACCCAGCCACUACUGGUUGUUCAUUUUAGUUACAGGGUGGUAUAAUUGUUAUAGUCUAAUUAAUAUAAAUGAUAGUACCGCAAUAGUUAAUGUUUUAUCCAAAGACAUAUAGGAACUUUACUUCACUUACCAUUAUUUAUAAUGAUAGACAUGUUCAGACUGCAAAAAGCUAUGGCUAAUGACAUAGAAAGGGGUUUGAGUCAGUAACACAGCCCAUACAGAGGAGAGCAAACCCGCUGAUGCUUAAUGCCCCUGCCAUGGCAGUGUCUACAGGGAACAAGGGGGGCCACUUGCCACUGUGACUUUACCCAUUGAAGGACGAGAAACCACAUUUUUAGUUGACACAGGUGCAGCCCGAAGUGUUCUGAGAGAACAAGACCUGCCAGAUGCCUCAUUCCUAUCAGAAAUAGAUGUCUCUUGUGUUGGAGUGGAUGGCCAACCAAGGCACAGUCCUUUAACAACCCCAUUGCGAGUUGGCAAUUACCCAAACUUGCUUGCUCGAUUUGUAGUAUCCUCCACAUGCCCAAUUAACCUGUUAGGUGCUGAUGUCCUCUCACGCCCGCAGGCAUCUAUCACCUUCACCCCAGAAGGUCAAGUAGAAUUGUCUACUCCCCUAUCUGAAUCAGAUACCUCAGUUUUGUGCUCCCUACCUCUAGUGCUGCAUUUAGAUGAACCCCGUGGGGAAGCAAAAGAGCAGAGGUCCAAUUUUUCGGAUAUCAUCAAAACAAAGGUACCUGCAAAAUUAUGGUCCAAAGGCCCAGAAGACAUAGGUCAUCUGAGAGUUCCACCUGUGGUGGUAAAGCUCAUUCCAGGAGCAAAAUUACCAAGAAAACCACAAUAUCCUCUAAAGCCAGCUCAGGCUGCAGCUAUUUCAAUUCAAAUCAAAGCACUUUUGGAGAAAGGUGCUCUUGUGAAGUGUGAAUCAAAAUGCAACACCCCAUUAUUUCCUGUGAAGAAGAAAACACCAAAAGGGGAACCAGAGAAGUACAGAAUGGUCCAGGACCUCAGAGCUGUCAAUGAAGCAACUGUCCUGGACACCCCUAUUGUACCAAACCCCCACACUCUGCUAUCUGGAGUUCCACCAUCUGCAAAAUACUUCACAGUCAUUGACCUGGCUAAUGCCUUCUUCAGUGUUCCACUGGAUCCGACUUGCCAAUACCUGUUUGCUUUCACUCAUGAAAUGCAACAGUAUACAUGGACUGUCAUGCCCCAAGGGGCACAAAAUUCUCCAAGUCAAUUUGCUAAAGCCAUGUGCUCCAUCCUGGACCCAUGGCAAACAGACCACCCAGAAGUUGUCCUACUUCAGUAUGUGGAUGAUCUCCUACUUUGUGGGGAUGACAUACCUACAACAGAAGACUGUUCUAUUAGUCUCCUUUGCUACCUAGCAGAACAAGGAUGCAAAGCUUCACGUCUCAAGCUGCAAUUCUGUCAGCCAACAGUAAUCUUUCUUGGACAUUGCCUAUCUCAAGGCACCAGACAUCUCACUCAGGACCGAGUCAGAGCCGUACUGGAGAUUCCACCUCCAAGAACCACAAAAUCUCUCCAUGUUUUUUUAGGCCUCAUUUCCUAUUGCAGAGCAUGGAUCCCAGAAGCCUCUCUGCUUAUGCAGCCACUCUAUGAUGCACUCAAGUCAGACCCAUUCUGCCUGACAAAUGAAGCACUGGACAAUUUUAAAAUUCUGAAACGUACCAUUGCAUCUGCUCCUGCUCUGGGCCUACCAGACUACACCAAACCCUUCAAAUUAUUUGUCUCUGAAAGACAAGGCCACGCCACAGGAGUGCUUACCCAAACAAAUGAGUUAAGAGGCCGCCAAAGGCCUAUUGGGUUUUUCUCCUGUCAGCUGGAUAUCGUGGCCAGAGGGGCCCCUUCAUGCCUUAGGGCUGUUUUUGCUGCAAGAGAACUUAUUGAGAAAACUGCAGACCUGGUCCUUGGUCAUCCUCUGGUCGUAUUGGCACCUCAUGACAUUUCUGCCAUUAUCAACCAAGUCCAGCUCAAACAUGUGUCUCCUGCCAGACACCUGCGUUUACAGUGUCACCUCCUGCUACCUGACAACAUCACCAUACAAAGGUGUCAAGUUCUUAAUCCGUCCACUCUUCUUCCACUCCCUGAGGGGGGUAUCCACUAUGGGUUUAUCAUGGACGAAACCUAUAUUUUUCUCCUCACUGGAACCAUCAAGAGGAUGCAUCCUGAUUUAACCUUUUAUAAAGAACAAAAACCUCUCUGUGAGGGUCCAGGAUAUGCCUUCUGUACCACAUGGUACAAGCCGAACAUCUCUCCUGAACCUUGCUAUGAAGAUGAACUCUAUCACUGGGUGGAGGUGAAACUCACUGCUCACGACUUCUAUUGUUAUUCUGAAGGCAAUAGCAUGGUCUUGAUCGAACUACCUUCAGAACUCAAGUAUUUAUACCGUCAUUGGGAUACUGCUAUUCCCCAUGUCCCUGUUACCAAGUUGAAAACAAAAUCAUGGAAUGAUCUCGGGCCCAUGGCGAAAUUAUGGGCCACCAUGGAUGACUCGAAGUUACAGGAAAAUGGCAUUGCCAAAUACCCCACAACUGACCUACUUGAAGCAUGGCCACGCCAUUUCCUGGAAAAUGACUUUAAAAGCCUGGUCAUAGUAAACAACUAUGACCCAGAGACUCCUCACGACUGUUUUGAACAGAUGAAAAUGGAGACCAUACAUCUACCAACGGUGCAUGAGAAUCCAUUGACAAAUCCUGAUUUCACUUUGUUUGUGGAUGGUUCAAGAUAUGCUGAUGAAGAAGGAAAAUACCACACAGGAUAUGCCGUAACCACAACAGAUGAAGUUAUCAAGUCAUCAUCUUUACCACCAGCAAUGUCUGCGCAAGAAGCUGAAUUACAAGCCCUGUCUUCAGCAUGCAAAAUCUCCGAAGGAAAACGUGCCAACAUCUACACAGAUUCAAGAUAUGCCCUAGGUGUGGCACACGACUUCGGCCUCAUAUGGAAGACAAGAGGAUUUCUUACUACUGCCGGCACACCAGUCAAACACAGCUCUGCAAUCAAAGAGCUAAUGGAUGCCCUCCUACUCCCUGAAGAAGUGGCCGUAUUGAAAGUCAAGGCACAUGGAAAGUUGGAUACAGAUGAAGCAAGGGGCAACCAUCUGGCUGAUCAGGCUGCUAAGCAAGCAGCAAGAAAUUUGCAGGAAGUGGACGAAGAAGUGUCCGGUCAAGAAGAAGUUCCUGUUUUUACUUUACAGACCCUUCCUACUGAUCUAAGGAUUUUGCGGGAACAGCAAGCCGCAAUUACCCCUGAAGAGAUCCAGAAAUGGAAGAAGAAAGGGGCUGUCUUAAAGGACGGAAUAUACUAUAACAAUUUCAAAUUCUGCCUUCCAAAAAACUUAUACCCAGCAGUUGUCCAAUGGGCACAUGGACCAGCACAUCUGUCAAAAGAUUUAAUGGCCGCCCUCAUCCAGAAGUAUUAUGAAGCCCCUGGAAUAACAACAUUGACGUCUAACACAUAGGAAAGCAUGGGAUUGGCUGAGCUUGUCAAGGAGGCAGAUCAGGGGCAGAGCCAGCACAGGCCAAACACAGCCCUGGCCAAUCAACAUCUCCUCAUGGAUAUACAUUGAAUCAAUGCAUCUCUAUGAGUAAAGUUCAGUGUCUCCAUACAGAGGUUGGAGACACUGAAUGUCAGUGCUUCACACUGUGCAGUACUGCCCUAGUAAGAACCUCUAGUAGCUAUCUGAGGAGUGGCCAGUGGAGAUAUCCAUUGGCUGUAAUGUAAACACUGCUGUCUUUACUUAACAAAGCCUGAAGUGAGUGAUUACACUUACCAGAACAAAUACAAUAAGCUGUUGUUGUUUUGGUAACUAUAGUGUCCCUUUAAUAAUAUAAAACCUACACUUCAAUAUCAGUGCAGUUGAACCUACACUUCAAUAUCAGUGCAAUUGAAAUUGGGGAAGUCUCUGGGUAUCACAUAACCACUAUAAGCUGUAAUGAGGUGAUUUUGAGUGCCCCAUUUAUGGUCUUUGUUGAUGCCAUAUACAAAGAUGUAUCAUAAAAGAUUACUAUAAGCACCAAAACAGUAUCUUAAUGAAACAGUUUAGAGCAGUGAUGGCGAACCUUUUUGAGCCCGAGUGCCCAAACCGCAAUACAUGCCAACUUUUUUUUCCUCAAAGUGCCAACAUGGCAAUUAAACCUGAAUACUGAGGUUUAAUUUUAGAAAAAAAACAACUCAUACAGUUGUCCGAACUAAUUAACAACUUUUGUUUUAAAAGAAGAACACAACAGAGAGUUCAAUGAUACAAAUUUUAAAUUAUGAUAUAAAUAGAUAAAAUUAAGCUUAUAUUUAUUAGUAUCUCCAACAAAUGCAAUACAUACACACAGACUGCUGAACACAUACACACACCGUCCGCUAAAUACAUACACACACCGUCCGCUAAACACACACACACACCGUCCGCUAAACACACACACAGUCCGCUAAAUACGAUACAGACAGAUUACUGAAAACACAUACAGACAGACUGCUGAAUACAUACACACAGUCUGCUGAAUACAUACACUGCUGAGUACACACACUCACAGACUGAGUACACUCACAGACUGCUGAGUACAUACACACACACACAGACUGCUGAAUACACACACACUGAUGAAUACACAGAGACUGCUGAACACAUUCACACAGCGGCUGCUAAAUACAUUCACACACCGGCUGCUAAAUAAAUACACACACUGUCCGCUGAAUACACAUACAGACAGAUUGCUGAAUACACAUACAGACACACUGCUGAAUACAUACACUGCUGAGUACACACAGACUGCUGAAUACAUACACUGCUGAAUACACACACACACACACACAGACUGCUGAAUGCAUACACACACACACACACACAGACUGCUGAAUGCAUACACACACACACACACACACACACACACACACACAGACUGCUGAAUGCAUACACACACACACACAGACUGCUGAAUGCAUACACACACACACACAGACUGCUGAAUGCAUACACAGACACACAGACUGCUGAAUACAUACACUGCUUAGUGAAUACACACACACUGCUGAGUACACACACACACACACAGAGACUGCUGAGUAUACACACACACAGAGACUGCUGAGUAUACACCUACAUACUGCAUUGAGGGGUGCAGUGUUUGUGUGUGGGGUUAGGGGUGCUGUGUGGGGUUAGGGGUGCUGUGUGGGGUUAGGGGUGCUGUGUGGGGGUAGGGGUGCUGUGGGGGUAGGGGUGCUGUGGGGGUAGGGGUGCUGUGGGGGUAGGGGUGCUGUGCUUAAUUCUGUAUUCCCCCCUCCCUUCCUCCGGUGGUGGUAAGUAUUGUAGGAAGCAGCUCUCCUAUCCUCCCGCGCUAUGCUGUGUGGAGCGUUGCCAUGGUAACACGCGUCAACGCUCCACACAGCUUGCUCGCAGGAGGAUAGGAGAGCUACUUCCUGGAGCCCUCCCCCUGCCUCCCGACCCGGAAGCAGAGUAGACGCCCUUCUAAAGCAAGAUAACAUCUGAAUUAUUUUUUUUUAUUUUUUUAUACUCCUCAUGUAGGCUGUGUCAGUCAAAGCCAGGGGAGGUGUGGCUAGGGCUGCAUGCAGGGCCAGAUUAAGAGCCCAGUGGGUCUGGUGCUGACAAUUAUUAUGGGGCCUAAUUACAGAAUCUUAUCGACCAAAACCACUAAAACAGUCAUACCUCUCAAGCGUCAUGUAUCUGAUUGAGUUGGUGUUGGAGGGAAACUCAAAGGAUGCAGCUAUAAGAAAACACAUACUCUACGCUAAUCUCUUUAUCUAAUUUAUGCUUUCAUUUUUCAAGUAAAUCCAUACCCCCUAACACCAGUGUCCAGUGAAGCAGGAAGUCAAUUGGCAGGGUAAAAGGGUGGACCACUCACAUGAAUCAUGUGACCAGAACUGCCAAAAGGGCAAACAUGUCCAAAAAGGGGGCAUGUCUGUCAAAAGAAUUGGCCAGCCUGGCAUCAGUGUCCUUAUGUAUCAGUGUCAGUGUCCCUCAUGUCGCCCAGUCCCCUAGUCUCCCAGUGUCUGUGUCUCCAUUUCUCCCAGUGUCCACAUGUCUCAGUGUGUCACUAGGAUACUACGGGACACUGGGAGACAUGGGGACACAGACACUGGGAGACUAGGGGACACUGGCUGGUAGGCAUGGGGACACACACUUGGGGACACAUGGUAGACCUGGGGCACUUGUGGACAUAGACAUGGGGACACUAGGGACACAGACACUGGCUGGGAGACAUGGGGACACUGGGAGACUGGCUGGGAGACAUGGGGACAGACAUUGAGAGACUAGGGGACACAGACACUAGGGACACUGGCUGGGAGACAUGGAGACACUGUGUCCCUAGUGUCUUCAUGUCCCAAUGUGUCUCACAGCGUCCCAGUAUCCUCAUGUUUCCCAGUGUCCCCACAUCUCCCAGUGUCUCAUUGUCCCCAUGUGUCCCCUAGUGUCUGUGUCCCCAUGUCUCCCUGCUGCCUUCCCCCCCCCAUCCUUCACAUACCUGGCCUGUAGUCUGUCUCUGCAGGCUGGGAGCGGCUGUCUGGACUCUCUCUGCUGUGUAGCUGUUCCCCUGCGGAUCAGUAAGUAGAGAGAAGCAGGGAGAUGCUGCAACUUCCUAUCCCUGCCUCUCUCCAUACACAGUGACUACUGGCCGGUGCUGGUAUUGCAGAAUAAUCUCAGUUUAUACUGAGACAAAUCUUUGCAUUUGUAUUGCCGGUAUUACUGCAAUACCGUCAUGGCCAGGCAGCCUCAAAUACCGUCUGUGCCUUAAAAUACCAGUCAGGUGGCAAACCUAAGAGUAGUGUGGCAAACCUAAGAGUAAAUGGGCCUAUUCCAUGGGCCUGGGCCUGGAGCUGCAGCUCCAUCAGCCCCUAUGUUAAUCCGGGCCUUGGCUGCAUGGACAUAAACAAAAGUGACUUACCUCCUAAAUGGCAGCAAAUUGAGCAGGGAGACUACAGGGGCCUGAUCUGUAUACACAAACUGCUUCAUUAAGCUAAAUGUUUUGACGACUAUAGUGUCUCUAUUAAAUUGGUAAAAGGGGGAGGAUUAAAGUCAUGUUCUAAGUCUUUUACACUGUAAGCAUGGUAACCACUUUAAUAUAAUUUAAAUACAUAUGCCGUUUUAUGUAGUUGGCGACUACAAAAUAAUUUACAGUUGUAUCUCCUGCGUUGCUCAGUUACAGCCUGUGGAAAAUCUGAAUAUUGUACUGCAGAAUUUAAAGCCAAUGAGUGCCACUAGCACAACUGGGCUUGGCUCAAUGCAGCUGGACUCGUUUAAUAUUUGUUUCACAAUCAAAUUUGGCUUAAAUUUUUAAGCGUCAAAUAACCUAAUGUGAAGGUAGAUAAUUUGUGACAAAAAGCAGUUGAUGUGUCUGAAAAUCUGCAAUUUGAAUGAACACUGUAGGGUCAGGAACACAAAUCUGUAUUUUUGCCCCUACAGUGUUAAAACCACCAUCUAGCCCCCUGGCACUCCCUUGCCCUACUAAAUCUUACCUUUAUUUCAGUCUACUACUGCUGGCUCUACCCCUGAUCUGCCUGUUUGGCUGACAUCAGAAGUGAAAACAUUGGAUUGGCUGAGAUUGUCAAGAAGGCAGAUCAGCAGGCGAGUCAGCACAAGCCAAACACAGCCCUGACCAAUCAGCAUCUCCUCAUAGAAAUGCAUUGGAUCAAUGCUUCUCUAUGAGAAAAGUUCAGUGUCUCCAUACACACUGUGCAGCACUGCUCCUGGAAGCACCUCUAGCAGCCAUCUGAGGAGUGGCCAGUGAAGUUAUCACUAGGCUGUAAUGUAAACACUGCAUUUUCUCUGAAAAUACAGUGUUUACUGCAAAAAGCCUGAAGGGAAUGAUUAUACUCACCAGAACAAAUUCAAUAAGCUGAAGUUGGUCUGGUGAAUAUAUAUAUAUCCCUUUAAUAAAAUUCUUGCACCCCUUGAUAUGUAAUGUUAGUUUGAUUUAUUUUUUAUUUGGUUCUACUGAAUAUAAUUUAGAACAGCUUUAAAUAUUCACCAUUACUUUCUGGAAUAAGUGGAGAAUACUCUAUUCUUUAUACCAUAAAUCUAACCUGGGAAUGAUUUUUAUUCUCUCGGACAGGUCAGAUGGCUCUGAAUGAUGCUGGAAUUCCAUAUUCUGCAGUGGAGCAGGCAUGCGUAGGAUAUGUGUAUGGUAAGUUAUAUCUUUGGCCUGUGUCUCUUUCGUGGUAUAUCAUGUUUUAUAUUCUCUUAUGGUAAAAUGACUGGAGUAAUGUUAAUUCUCAAUUACCCGUGUAAUAAAUAAAGCCAUGUGUAUCAAGGAAAAUUCUAGGACAAAGUUCUACAUAUUGAGCAGUCCCCCAAAAUAAUGUUACAUAGGUUGAAAAUGACUUGCAUCAAUCAAGUUUAGACUUUCUCAAAUCUGUUUUUGCUGUUGAUCCAAAAGAAAGCUAAAAAAAAAAACAAAAAAAAAAAGUUUGAAGUGCUUUGAAUUUUGCAACAAGCAAGCAUAAAAUUCCUUAUUGACCCGAGAAUGGCAGUCAGAUCUCUCCUUGCAUCAAGAAGCUUUUUCCCCACCUAUUAAACCAUAUUUUCCUGAAUAUUCUGUUUUUUCAAGUAUUCAUCCAGUUGCUGUAUAAACAACUGCACAGAUUCUGAUAAAGCCACCUGUUCAGGCAGAGUUCGCAUCCUAUGUAUAGUCUUGUUUAUGAACAGAUUUCCAGACAAUGGUUUUUAUUGGUCCUGAAUAUAUUUGUAAAAUGUGAUCAUAUCCCCUCUAAGAUGCAAUUUUUCUAAACUAAAUUCAUUUGAAUUUGUUAGCCUGUCUUCAUAACUAAAAUGUUCCAUUCCUUUUAUAAAUUUUGUAGCCCGCCUCUGCACUUUUUUAGUGGCAAAAUAUCCUUCUUUAGAACAGGUGACCAAAAUUGCACAGCAUAUUCAAAGUAUGGUCUUACCAGGGAUUUAUAAAGAAGCAAAAUUAUAUUCUCAUCAAGCGAAUUAAUGCCCCUUUUUAUACAUGAUAAUACCUUACUAGCCUUAGCAACUGCCGAUUGACAGUAUAGUAUAUAUAGUCACCAGAACAACUACAGAUUAUGGUAUUUGUUUUGGUGAGUGGGUCAGUCCCUGCAGGUUUUUUAAUGUAAACAAUGCCUUUUAAGAGAAAAUGCAUUGUUUACAUUAUUCCCUAGUAACACCGCCAGUGGCAGUAACUCAGACCGCCACUAGAGGUGUUUCCUGGGCUUACGUUUAGCGUUUCCACACUCUGCAGUCGAGGUGAUGAACUUUCCCCAUAGAGAUGCAUUGAUUCAAAGCAUCUCUACGAGGAGAUGCUGAUUGGCACAGCGUUUUUCUGCGAAUGUGUGAUUGCCUCUCAAUGCUUUUCCUGCAGGAAAGCAAUGGAUUGGCUGGGAUCAUAAAGUUUGAUUUCAGCCAAGGGGACGGGCCAGCAGCAACCAGACCUGCGUGGCACUGGAAAAGGGAGCAAAACACCUUAUUAACCGGACGUACACUAUAAAUGACCACUCUCUUUAAGCCAAUGUUCUACCCACUAACAAGAAUUUUCAUCUAGAACACAAGUUCUUUUAGUUUGAACACUAACCUAAUGUGUGAAACCAUAUCGAACGCCUCUUGCUGAUCAAUAACAUUUAGCACUUUCUGCAGAAUUGUUCCAGUUUUUGCCAUUCUAACCCAUUGUCUUUUUUUUUUUUCCCUCUCUUCUGGUGUAGGUGAUUCCACAUGUGGGCAACGUGCAAUCUAUCACAGUUUGGGGCUGACUGGGAUUCCCAUUAUCAAUGUCAACAAUAACUGCUCUACCGGGUCCACAGCACUCUUCAUGGCCAGGCAGCUGGUGCAGGGAGGUGAGAAUCAAUUCGGGUCCACUGCAAGUAGCACUACAGGGGUACACAAAUUGCUCAGUGUUUCUCUAAUCUCUGUUGUCUAGGAUGAUUUCUUAACCUAUAUAAUGUUCCCAAAUACUGUUCUUGGCAAGAGGCCCUACAAUAUAAGCGUCCCUCUGUCCAUGUUUCUGAUAACUUGGAAUCUUGGACUGAACAGGAGUUAAUAAAUACUGGAUAAAAAGCUUUCAUGUGGAUAAGAGGGAAUAUUAUUCUAGCCCUAUUCAUGGGUCCCUAUCGCUGCAUGUCCUAAAGGGCUGGUAGAUAAAGAAACAGUGUUAUCAAGUAGCCUUUAUUUAACCCAAGAGAGCCAGAUCCCUAUUGCUGUCUGUGUCUGUAGAUACUACCUUUUUUGUGUUCUCUUUCCUAUGCAGUGGUUUCAGAAUGUAAAAUGUUCUUAGAAUUGGAUAUUCAGAGCCGCAUUAAUUCAGCAGUCCGCAAUAGGGUUGCACGCCAGUGCCACUGAGUAGCAGUGCUUUGUCAAUUCCAAAUUUUACUUUGUGUUCCUUAGGACUAUGUGACUGUGCCUUGGCUCUUGGUUUUGAGAAGAUGGAGCGUGGGUCUCUAUCAUCCAAGGUAACGCCUGUUUUAGUAUAAGCGUUGGUGGAAUUAUCUGCAUGUCAUAGAUGGGGAUGAUUGCGCUGCGGCUGUACCAAAUUCUGAGUUGGUAGAUCAAAAAGCAUACAUAAUUGAGCCAAAACCAAUAAGGGGGGGAGGGGAAAAGCCAUAACAGUGCAAAAUUUGUGUAAAAAAAAACAAAACACAAAACAAACCUUUUAAUGCUUCAUAGUUAAAAUUGUGGCUUGGCCCAGAAUUAGGCGAAGACGCUACCACUUUAAUGCCAAAGAAUUUUGUGCCAUAAUCGGUUAAAAUUAUAUUUAAAACCUAAAGUAUAUGAAAAGUUACAGAAUCUGUUGCUGGUACUGAAAGUAAUUUUUAUUUUUAUCUGUACAUCGAAAAACAUACAGGAUUUGAUUAUUGUCUUGUUUGCAAAACGAACAUCGGCAAGCUACAUAAAGAUCUAGUAACCAUUGUAGGGGAGAGGUCAUACAUGUAUAUAAUCUACUUCGACUGUACAAAACUAUAAUAAGAAUAGAUCUGGAUUAGUGAUCAGACAGUCUCAGAAAAUAUGCAGGGCAGAGGUUAACAAACACUGUACACCAGCAAAAGCUAAUAAAAUUAAAGGAUGAGUCAACGAUUACAAAAUCACAUAGCAGAAAGCUCACAGGUGUUUAAAGUGAAUGUCUAAUGUGAGGUUGUGUGUGUGUGGUGGUUUUUCUCUGUUCUACAAACCAAACAUUCUCAAUGAUAUAAGGGAAAAAGAAAGUAAGCUAAAUAAUGUUUCCUUCUAAAUACAUGGAAUGUCUGUCCUGUUACCGCGUUUCUCCCCUCCAGUUACCCCUUGUCUUCCCCAAAAUUAACCUUUCUUUCUUCUAUUACUGUAGUAUACUGACCGGACCAACCCUAUGGACAAGCACAUGGAGGUGAUCAUAAAUAAGUAUGGCUUGGCACCUAUUCCUGUAGCUCCUCAGAUGUUUGGUUCUGCUGGUAGAGAACAUAUGGAAAAAUAUGGUAAUUUCUUCUUAAUAACCAAAAGUAAUGUGUCUUCUAGACCCAGAGUGAGUGGCUAAUACCUGUUUUCUGACUUCUGUCAGCCUGUUUAAAGUGGAUUUGUCCCCACCUGAGAUUUACCUUAUUAAACUUGUGCUACUCAGUCAGUCUUUCCUUUUUUCCUUUUUUCUUCAGUUUUUUUCUUCUGAAAUGGGUAAUUAUCCACCUACCUGAACCGAGCUUAUGUUUCCCAUCUCUUAACUCUUCAUGCAACUCCUCCCAAACUUAUUCUUCACUACAGUGUCAAUUGUUAGGAAUUCAAAUAGAGCUAUUCAUCAAAUUUUUGCGAAUUGCCAGUAAAUACAGUUAUGACCAAAUCAUGGCAAAAAUAGCCAAGUUGGGAAUAUUGCGGAGUUGGAGACUCAAUGCUUCAGGUUUUGUUUUGUUUUUCUUACUUUUUUUGGGGGGGAGGGGGGGUUUCUCCAAAUUCCAAUCAGUUUACUGAAUAGCAAUGAAAAGAAAUUUCACAUUUUAGGCUGCAAUAGCCCUAAUUAUCUUGUUCUAGUAGCUUUAAAAAUGCACAUUGAAUUUCCAACAAUUCACAGUUUAAUGAAGAACCCUGACCAAGUUCUGCGAAUUGAGCCAUUCUGAUGCAGAUUUUAAAAUUUGAAUAAAGUGGAUCUGUCAACUUCACACCGUCGCAUGUUUUUCAUAUAGUUUUCAUAUGCCUUUUGCAAAAGCCCAAAAUUUCAAGUUCUAGGUCACUUGCUUAGCACAUGUUGCCUAUAUAAUCAUUCUCAAGCAACACUCUCAAACAGGUGUGUUCGACAUUGGACCUCCUGAUAAUGAAAUUUCUUUCCCAUUUAUUUAUUUUUCGCUAGUUAGUCAAAAAAUGACACCGAAAUGGUUGGUUUUUCACGAAGGUGAGAUUUGUAGGAAUUUUUAAAGUGAAUGUCAAAUUUUAGACAAAAACGGCCAACUCUAAGCAUAGAUGACUUGAUGAUUUUGGCAUUAAAUUUGAAAUGCUCUUUGAAUUCUGAAGAAUUGUCACUUUAGUUAAUAGCUCUAUGACUGGCAGAAGGUUUUUAGAAAAGUACAUACAUUUUGCGCAGUUUCCAGCUAACAAAAUUCAACUUGUAUAAACUUCAAUUCCAUCUCCUUUUUGAAUACUAGAUUAUAUCAAAUGAGGGGGAAUGUUUUUGUUUUAAUUGGAUUUCUAUAGAGGGUAGACUAUUUCAGAAUGUUUGUUUUUAUGGGAUGUUUCAUGGAACUGAAAGUCAUAAUCUGAACAAACUCAUUUCUGCACCAAUUUACUCCAGUUUAAAGUCACGUUGCUGUUGAAUUCUAUAAUACACCCAUAUUCAGUGUGUACACUGCUGUUUAUUGCGCUUUGCACUGGUACACAAUGCACAUUACUUUGUUUAGUACUGUAGAUCUCUAAUACAUUUGUGUACACUGCACAGUACAUGAUACAUUCACAAACUGCACAUUACUGUUGGCUUAUUUGCUCUGUUACUCUCCUAAACCAAACGUUCUAAGCCGUCCUACAACAAAAGUGCAGUGAGAUUUGGGCUCCAAAGAGGAACUGUCCCUUCUAAAGCAGUUCUCUGGAUUUUAAAAAAUUCAUUAUUUAUGAGCAUGGGAUGAUACAUAAGACAGCGACAUUUAAAUAUCGCCAAAUGCAGUGAAAAAUACAGACAUGUAUACAUGAACUGCUUUAUCUUUUUAUUAUGAUUUAUAUAUAUAUAUAUUUUUUUUAUUUUCUUAAUUUUUAUAGUUUUGCGUGGACUCAGGACAUACUUGAAAAUGAGAGAAAUCUCAAUGUAUCUUUCCUGGUAAAAUAUUUUAUAAAUAAAUAAAUAAUAUACAAUUGUAACGGACCCCUUCGUUACAGGGACCGCUUCCUAGCUGGAACAGGGGAACCGAUAGGUGAACUAGCUCUCAGUCCUUAUAAGGACUUACCUUGCUGCGACAAGCUGGCCCAGGGAUUAACCCUUUCUCCCCCCUCCCAGUAACUGGACAACACCUAGUUCUGGAGGUACAACUCUCUGAUAAUCUUUAUUGCACAGACCAGCGCAGGGAGUCUCCACUCUUUCAAUACACUUUCCUUUGUCCCAGGCAGGAGAGGGGGGUUGGUUACAGAUAACCAUCUCCCACUCUGGGAGAUACCAACAGGACACCGUUACAUACAUUAAAACAUAUUACACACGGGUGGAAACUGAGGGGCUCUGCGCCCCAGGAAGGGGUCACACAUGUAGAACGUAUAUCCCUGGAUAGCCCUGUUUCCCAACUAGGGUCCCUGCAAAUAGAGGGGCUAUCGGAUGCAUCCCCGAAAAUAGUUCCACAGCGUUGUUUAGUAAACUUCGCUCCUAAACCAUACAAUAGCCAAUCAGAUGAAAGGCACGAAACAAAUUUUCACCAAUCAGCACACAGGAUGUAGAGGGGUUUCACCGCUCAAUCAGGAGAAAGGGUGUGAAACCCAGUUUGAAUAGGCGCUCCUUCUCUGAUUGGUUGAUGCAGGAGACCAAUCAGCUCACACUCGUGCCGAUCCAUCAGAAGAAUGGCUGUGAAGCCGAUUUCACAGCUCCAGGGUCUUCGCUGGGGCUCGCGCCUCUCUUCGGUGGCUGCCUACACUUAGGAAGCCUCGCAGCUCCCCGGUAGGGGAGUAGUGAUUACAGGUCCGUUAGGAGCAGGUAGGGCGAUCCAUACCGCCAGUACCCCAACCCCCAGUGUGAAGACCCCGCAAGGGAUACCAAUGCUCCCCCCCCCCCCCGGGUGGCGUUCGCCUAUACAAAUGGCGGCCACCGAGGGGAGCACUUAUUAAUUACUUCCCUUGUGGUUUCACACUUAUGUUGCAGGUGUGAACAUUCUGAUUUAUUGGUGUAAACAUUCUAAUGGGGUACCAGGGUGGUCCGCGUUCAGGAGACAAACGGGUUAUGUUCACGUGAGCACUACGAAGGUCAACAGGGUAUAUAACACGAAAUACAUGGGGAACCGUACAUUACACAGGGGAAAACCAACGAAUAAGCAGUGGGCAUGGUACUCAGUGACAGCAGUCCGUCACAACAAUGCUAAUAGAUGAAAUAGAAAAGGAAGAAAAAGUAAGCCGAUCGCUUUGCAUGCUACUUUACCGACAAGAUUGAACAGCUAAGUUCUUUCUCAAACAUACGUUGAUCAUGCCUUUCCUACCCUUGAGACUUUCUCCCUGGCUACUGCGCUUCUCCUUUCAUCACGCCCCACCACUUGCCCACUCGAUCCUGUACCAUCUCACCUUAUAAAAUCUCUCUCCCCCUGUCUUGUGUCUUCCUUAACACACCUCUUCAACUGCUCACUCUCUUCUGGCGUUGUGCCUGCUGACCGUAAACAUGCCACUGUAGUACCGAUCCUGAAAAAAAACAAAACAUCUCUUGACCCUUCCUCCCCCCUCUAUCGUCUCAUAUCCCUGCUCCCUUUUUCCUCAAAGCUUGUCUCACUUCCUCAAGUCCAACUCUCCUUUACCCUCUUCAAUCCGGCUUCCGCCCUCCCCACUCUAAUGAGACUGCUCUUAUCAAACUGACUAACUACCUAAUCGCAGUUAAAUCCAAAGGCGACUAUUCCAUACUAAUUCUUCUUGACCUUUGCUGCCUUUUAUAACCAUUGAUGAUGCUCUCCUUCUUCAAACUCUUCAAUCACUUGGUCUCUGUGACUCUGUUCUCUCGUGGUUUUCCUCUUAUCUCUUCCAACGCUCAUUCAGUGUCUCCUUUUCUAAUGAUACCUCCUGUCCUUUGUCCCCUUCUAAUUUUUUUUUAUAUAUCUUUAUACUGUCUCUCUUGGCAAACUUAUUGCAUCAUUUGGAUUCCACUACCACCUGUACGGUGAUGACACCCAGAUAUAUCUCUCCUCCCCAGACCUCUCCCCUGCUGUCCUGCAACGUGUCACUGCUUGCUGUUCUUCCAUCUCUGACUGGAUGUCCUCGCGCUUUCUGAAACUCAAUCUCUCUAAAACUGAGCUCCUUGUCUUUCCUCCUCCUCUUUCGCUCUCCCUUCAAGUUAGUGGUAUCUACAUAAGUCCAUCCUUGCAAGCGCACUGUCUUGGCGUUAUACUUGAUUCUGGCCUCACAUCCAGUUUGUUGCCAAAUCCUGUAGAUUCCACCUUUAAAAACAUAGCACGCAUCCGCCCCUUUCUUACACAAGAUACUACCAAUGAGCUUAUCCAUGCUCUAGUAAUUUCCCGCAUGGAUUAUUGUAACCCUCUCCGAACUGUUCUGCUCAAAAGCCGUAUUGCCCCGCUACAGUCUGUAAUGAAUGCUGCCGCCAGACUGAUUUUCCUCUCUAGUCGGUCCUCUCACACUUCACCCCUCUGUCAGUCUUUACAUUGGCUUCCUGUAUCCUAUAGGAAUCAAUUCAGAGUGCUAACCCAUACCUAUAAAGCACUGACCAAUUCUAGCCCCUCUUAUAUCUCUUCACAGAUCCAUAGGUAUGCCCCUUCUCGAUCUCUCAGCUCUGCUCGUGACCUUCUCCUGUCCGCUGCUCGCACCCGUACGGUCAACUCACGCUUGCAGGACUUAUCGUGGGCAGCUCCCUUCCUGUGGAAAAGCCUGUCUACCGCCAUCAGACUCUCCCCUAGUCUUCAAUCAUUUAAGAAGUGCCUUAAAAUCCAUAGGAAAGCUUGUAACCUCUACCUCACACCUACCUGUCCCUUGCCCCUUUGCCCUCUCCUAAAGGGUAGCACUUUACUCUCUCCUCCAGCUCUGCUUCACUCCCACCUUAUUUGAUUGCUAUUUCCUGUCCUAAUGUGUUUUAUACCCCACCUCCUAUAGAAUUGUCCUAUUUAUAGAUAAAUCUUAUAAUAUUGUAAAGCGCUACGGAAUCUGCUGGCGCUAUAAAAAUGGCAAUAAUAGAGUUUAAAGAAAAGGGGGGAAAAAAAGAGGGGGUUAAGAAAGGUUUUCUCCCGCAGGUCCAGCAAAGCUAGUGAAAGUUGAUAAGGAGUAGGCUAUUUUCUGUUCUUUAACAGUUUCCAUUAUUCAAUUUUUCUUAUUUAAUCUGAUACCAUGUUCUGCCAUAAUGACUCUCACCCCACAGGCACCAAGAAGGAACACUUUGCCAAGAUCGCAUGGAAGAAUCACAAACAUUCUGUUAAUAACCCGUAAGUGUUGUGGGUCACCGAGCAUAAAGCUUGAGCACACCAGCAUACCGAGGGUCCAUGGAAUGGUGGGUGUGGCUUACGGCUUCCUCUGCCAAAGGACUAUUCUAAAAGUAUAUGUCUGCACCUACAUUUUAUCCAUACUCCACCCACAUUAAUUGAUGCCACGCCCAUUGAGUUUAAUUCUUUAAAGUUAGGGGAAAAUCUGUAGUUGUUCCUAGUCUCAUUUGUGUUGCACAUCCACUGUGAAUAUAAGGUUUAAGUGAUACUCUCUGGUCUAUUUAUUUCGUUUUUUUUGUUUGUCACAAUUUUUAUAGGAACUCUCAGUUCCGUGACGAGUACAGCUUGGAUCAAGUGCUGAAUUCCAGGAAAAUCUUUGAAUACCUGACUAUACUUCAGUGCUGGUACUAGAAAUUAAUGUGUUUGUAGUUUUGUUUGUGGAAAUGUACUUGUAUCUUUUUAUUAGAAUCUUUUUUUUUUUUUUUUUUUUUAUGGCGGUGACGGGUUAGGUUUGUGUGUUCUGUGAAAACUUAGACCUCACUUUAAUAUUGUUUGAUAAUUUGCAAAUUAUUCAAUAUUUUUGGAAUAAGCUUUUAAAAUUAAUUUUUUUUAAUUAAUACAAUUAUAAAAUAUAUAUAUAUAUAUCUCAAAAUAAUACAUUUUGAAUAUUUUUCAUAAUAUUAAAUGCAUUUUAAAAGUUGAUUUAAAAAAUAUGAAAUCACUUGGAAAGUGUGUGGGGUUUUUUUUAACCAGUAAACUGAGAAAUCUAGCACUAUGACCUUCCGUAUGUUAUGUGGAAAUCAAAAAUAUUUUAAAUCUGACUUCUAAACUAGUCCGUUUGUUUGUUUUCCUCCCUGAUGCCACGUGGAUAUGUUAAUAUGUGGAAAGCCUUUUUUCUAAAUCUGUUCUUGGUCUCAAGACUUCCCAAGUGGAUCAGAGAUCUGUUAAUUAAUAUAAUGAGCACACAUGCUGAACACACCAUACACCGGUCUCCAGUCAAAACCACAAACUGGAAGGCUUCCUGAUAUGGGAGUUGUCAUGGAAAAAAAUGUUUUUUUUUUUGUUGUCUUCCAUCCAGUGUGAGCUGCUGUGUUCCCUGAGUAUUCUACAGAUGUAUGACUGAGAACACUGGCAGCAGGUUGAUUAGCACUUCUUCCAUUGGGCAGGAUAUUCUCAAAAUAAGCCAAAUGAGGAAAACAAUCUUUAAUAUCUCUUAAAGGGUUAUGGUCAUUACAACUUUGCAUAGUAGCCCUAGUUAAUAUGUAUGUGCUGCAAUAUAUCAGAAGUAUAUGAUUCACUAUAUUUCUCGUUUAAAGUGCCAGUUGUUAGAGCAACCGCUAUCUUGAUAUAGCUGUGGCUAUCUUUUAUAAAUGCUUCUUUUUGAGUGGGUCAGCAACACGUUACUCUGUUUCUCAAGACCACUUCGAUUGGACUCCACUCGUUUGUGACAACUUUUUUUUUAAAUUUAUUUUGAAACCCACAGCCCAACCUCUGAUGGUGCUGCUGCUGCCAUUGUAGUGAGUGAAGAUUUUGUGCGCAAGCACAGGCUGGAGGGACAAGCCGUGGAGAUCCUGGCACAGGAAAUGGUCACUGAUACCAGAAGUACAUUUGAAGAAGAAAGCUGCAUAAAGGCGGUAAGAAUAACCACUCUGGGUACCGUAACUGCUACAUUGCAUUUAAAUUGUUUUGGUGCCAAGAGGUCCCAUGCACCAUCUUACCUGAAGGUGUUAAACCAUUAAUAAACAAUUUAACCUGAAAGCCAGCGCUCAAUCACUCUACCCCUCCACUUUCUCUUAAGGGUUGAAGCCUCGAACCAAGCGCUGAUUAGACAAAUUGCAGGGGCAGAAAGUUUGGGCAGUGGCUUUCAGACUUUGGGGUUAAACCAGGGUAAGUAGAGUUCCCAGGGACCUCUUUGUACCAUAACAACUUAAUUACAAUUAAUUUAUCAUGGUGCCCACCCUGUUCCUUUAAAGUGGGACAUUGUUCCAUGACCAGGCUUGAUUGUCUAUAAAAUUCAUAAGUUUCUCUACUUCUUACUGUUAAGUGCCUGAUCCAUCUGCCGUUUUCACAGUAGCCUGAAGAGUUGGCUCCACCAUACGAAGUCAACCAUACGGUGAUAAAAGACAAAUCCAGUAUUGAAUUUGCAGAUUCCCGUUCUUGAUUUUUACCACAACCUACUCUAUUGCCUUCUAAUUUUAGAGUGUUUGACUUCUGUGACUAUAAGAUCACCUUUCUCCCUAAUCUACUUGCCUUUGGCUAACUUUCACUCGUGUGGCUUCCAGUCUGCCACAGCAUUCUUUUCCACUUAUGGAUAUGGAAUGGUGUCACCUAGAAUAUUUUGUGGUGCCUAAAUUACUGUUUCGCUCUAUACUCUGAAAGGUUCUCUUAUUUCCCACCCAUUCUAGGUUGGGUUUGACAUGUCCAGACUUGCUGCUGAGAAAUGCUUCACGAAAACUGGCUUAAGACCAGAAGACGUAGAUGUGAUUGAACUUCAUGACUGUUUCUCUGCUAAUGAGCUCAUCACAUACGAGGCACUAGGGCUUUGCCCCAUAGGUAAUUGGCAAGCACUGCCUAACCAUCGUUGUGCAGGAGAACUCCUUUAUCCAACAACUGCUACCUGCUGCCCUUCUUACUAACCCUGCUCCAUGUUCUGUAGGUCAAGCUGGAGCUCUGAUUGACCGAGGAGACAAUACAUAUGGCGGUCGAUGGGUAAUUAAUCCUAGUGGAGGUUUGAUCUCUAAAGGCCACCCACUUGGAGCAACAGGUUAGAAAUGUACACGUUCAAUUUCAAAAUACGCAAACCUGGUAUAAUCUAGAAUUGUAUUUUUGGGUUGAGGGGGAAAGUAGCAGAAACUUCUAAUGAAAAGUUGUAGUGACGAGAGAGAGAGAGUGUGUGUGUCUGUCUGUCUGUCUUUCUUAACCCAACAUGGAAGAUAACUGAGUCUUUCCCUCCUCUCCUGUCUAUUUAAAAAAAAAAAAUAUAUAUAUAUAUAUAUAUAUAUAUAUAAUAUAAAUGUUUUUUUUGUUUGUUUUUUUUAAUUUUUUUAUUUGAGCUAAAAAGUUUCCUAUUCCUUCACGGUGUAUUAUGGAAGAAAAAUGCAUACAUUACUAAUAACAUGCCAUAUCUAUAUUAAAAUGUGGCACAAACAAUGAUGUGAAUCAUCCCACUUUUAUAAUAAUUUUUUUUAUUUUUUUUUGUCAAAUCCAGAACACGUAGUGAAGCGCUGAGGGUAUACUGGUGAGAUAAAGAUAGUACUGAAAUCAUACCAAGAGAUAUGAUACAAAUCCAUAACGAGGGAUUGCACUGCUCAUGCACAUGAGUUGGAGUUAAACUAUAGCUCCAUAAAGUGUAGGUGCAUCUCAUUAUCCUGUUCCCUUAGUGAUUACAGAUAUAUUGCACGAUCCAUUUCUUCUUUUGUCCCAUUAAUAUCAUUCCAUGCUACUACUCGUAAGGACCCCUAAAAGUGCUUCUUCCAACUCCUUUUGUGAGUAAUUUUUUUUUUUUAAUGUUUGCAAUGAAAAUACAGUAAGUCUCUUUCCACUAAGCUUAGGUCGAGUUAGUGCAAAGCAGGUAAUGUUUGCUGCUGACAGAGUUGGAGAAUGUGUGUGUGUGUGUGUUGUGUUGUGUUGUGUUGUGUUGUUUUUUUUGUUUUUGUUUUUUCUCGAUCAUAUCCAAAGAGGUACAAGGCUUUCAUAAAAACUGGUUCUCUGUCACCACUCCCAUGGCUUCAUAAAAAACAAGGUUAUGGUACCCACAAUCUCCUUGCAUCAUGACCCUUUGCUGUUUAUCCUUCCUCGUCAUUAUUUAUCUCUCUCUAAAAAGAAGGAGAGAAAAUUGGAUCUUGCAUUUUAGAACAUUUGGUUAAUUAGAGUUUGGUUGUCUCUGAUAAUGGUACCUGCAGUAUCCCUUUAAACUGACACCCAAAAAGAUUUUUUUGGCAGACCUCUACUCCUAAAGGAACAUUCCAAAUGGGGAGGGAGGGAAGGAACUGUUAAGUAGAUAUACCCCCAAAGAGAUCAGAGUGGAGGGUGAGGGGGAGGAAUCAAUAGGACAAGGUACAAUGGAGCCGUAUGAACAUGAGCAUGCUCAUAGGGUCAUUAGGACUUGUGGGAGAAGACAGGUGUGCUUUAGCCGAUGUUGUGGAUCGUAUGUAAGAGGGAAAAUGCCUCCCCCUGAUGUCUGAUAGCCACGGAGGUAUUGCUUAGUUGAUUUAUAAAAAUGUCAAUAUCACUUAGAAAUAGGCACUCUUAUAAAGUACACUUAGCAUGGGAUACUCAUUACACAAGCAAGCUUGCGUGUGUUUGAGUGUGGAGUGAUUCUUUAACCAUACUAUACAAUGUUUAUGCAUUUUAUAGCUAAAUUAGCUUUAGGGUUAUGACGCCAUUUCAUCUGUCAUGCACAUUUUUUUUUUUUUUCUUUAUUUUUGAACGUGCAUGAGAUUACAAUACCUCCUGCAUUGCCACAACAGCAAAUGCGAGGAUUUGCAGUACAUUCAAUGAUACAUGUAGGUUGACAUUGAGAACUGUUAGAGACAAUACUUUGCAUCAUUUGAGAGAACAGCACGAAAUUUUAUAUUUAAAGUAUGGUGACUAGUUAAACAUAACACUUGUUUGUCUGGGCAGAGAGUGUCUUAGUGACGAGUCGUGUUAGGCAAGUUAGUAAGAACGAUUAAGCCUCACAACACUGGUGGAGGAAAAACAUGAGUGACCAAAGUAAUGUAGUGGAGUAAUAUAGUGGCACCUUGUUAAGUUAUAUAUAUCCCGCAGGCUAAACAGGCUAGACAGUAAAAGUCUGGAGUGACUAGUGAAGGGAAGUAGCUAAAUUUGGUUAUAUACCUGAUGAUGGCAAUUUAAGCAAGGUAGGAGUAUAUACCCCUUGCGACUGCAUGGUUUUGUUUGGUUAUGGUCUGAGCAUUUUACGAGUUCUGGCAGUGGGCUCCCUUUUUUUUUUUUUUCGUUUCCCUUUCCCUUUCCUUUCGCACAAUUUUAGCUUAUAAACAGCAUUGAGGUUGUACGUAAAUUGGGCAGUGGCAUGAGAAAUGCACAGUGUUAUACGUAUAGUUAUGCCAAUCAUCAGCCUGGCUAUCCCGUUUUGUCAUUAGAAUAUGGCGCAAAGAGAAGUUUAAAGGUAAGCUCAGACAGGUUUAGGUCAUGCACAUUUUUAAUGUCUCAAUAAAACAGAGAAUGACAAUAAAUAAAUAAAAUCGCCUUAGCUUUUUGUAUUAUUUGCAUACUAUUGUAUUAUGUGUAAUAGAAAACAAGCAUUUUCAGAAUUUUACAUCUUAACCCUGACUACCCCAUCCCAUUCCCCAUAUAUCCCUAUUGUUAAAUUAUUCCUUAUUGCUUGUUCCUGUUGCUGGUUCACAAUGUCACAGCUCAGAUACUGUUUCUAGCACAGAAAAUGAAAAAAGUUAAUUACUGUACUUUGUCUUCCAGUAGUUCCUAAUCUAUCCACAAGUCCCUUCUCUAUCCAUAAACCCUGACGUGCUUGGAAGGUUCCAUAGUAAAGCAUUAGAGGUUCCUCAGAGGCUAAUCCCUGCCAUGUCUGGGUAGUGUUAACGUCCAUUAUGUGUAGCACCUAGGAUCUAUUGCGUAUUUUCUUCUAAUGCUGGCCACUUUGGCCUUAAAGGAACACUAGAGCGUUGUGAAUACAAAAUUGAACUCCGAACACAAUUGUGUGGAGAUGUCGGUCUCUCCCCUUUCCGAGUGUGUGUUCAUUAUUUUCUUUUUUCUUUUUUUUUAACUUUUUUUUUUGCAUUGCCAAUGUUCCCUUUGCGCUGUUAACCUAUCCUCUGCCACGAUGGUUCUAGAAGAGCAUUAGGGACCUGAUGCACAUGCAUGUAAGCUUCCCCAUAGGAAAGCACUGAAUCAAUACUUUCUUAUGGGGGUUGCUGCAUCACUUGACCGUUUUAAUCCGUCAAUGCCUCGAAAGUGCCUUUAGUGGCUGUCAGUAACAUAGCUACUAGAGGUGGCCUUAACCAUGCAAUCAAAACAUUGCAGUUUCUAAAACAAUAACUAACUGCAAUGUUAUAUAUAAUUUUUUAUUUUUUUUGGCAGCAUUAAGAUGGAAGUGGCCUGGGUGACUUUAGUGGUCCCAUAUUUUUAAUUCACAAAUUAGGUGAUAAUUCACUAAAAUCUGAAUUGUGGCAUUUGGGUGAAAAAAUGGGUAAAGGGGGAGGAGGAGAAGAUGUGGUCCUAAAAAGCCAUUUAAUCUGAAUUUUGCUUUUUGGAUUUUGAUUAUCUCUUAUUAAGAGUUUUUGGCGUAUAAGCCCCCUUAGUGAGUAACCCUGUAAAUGGGCAGGUACAGCCUAAGACACUGGUCGCUCUUCAGCAAAUGACAAAACAACCCGUCAGUGGCUCAAACCACAGUGUACUAACCUGCAGGCCGUCUUUGCAGCUAGUUGUGCAAUCUGGAAUAAUUUAAUAUUAUCAGGCUUUUUAGAUGCCUACCAAUCAGUUGGAGACAACUCCAAGCAGACUUGCUUGUGUGAUGUUUAUUUAAUUACUGUCAAACUGAUUUUGCAAUUUGAUCUAUCUGCACCCUAUCCUAUCGCAGAAACCUUCAAGCCGUUGGCAGAGUUUUGUAUGUGAAAGGGCAGACCCUGCUCUUAUCUGUUUAUUUCUGCCAUGUUUUGGGCUCUUUAUCUUGGUUUUCGAUAGCACUUUGAAGACUUUACCCCCCUGAACAUUGAACUUCAUAUAGAUCUCGCAAAAUACUGAUCACAUACAGUGAUAAAGGGUUACUAUGUCUCCGAAAACUAACCAAGAUUCCAUUACAUAGACCUUUAACCUGUCAAUUAAAUUGGAAGUGUUUUGUAUUUCUGUGUGGCCCAUUUUUCCCAUUGCAUUCUUUCCAGUAAAGACUAUUGGUAUAUGUGUUUUAAUUUCACUAAGUAACAGAAGUGCAUAUUACAUUUCUAUUUGUGAGAUAUACAUUGGUUGCCUGACUGUGCCUUUACAGACUGCUCUUAUGUCAGUGAAGUAUGGCAAUGUACAGUAAACACUAUUCUGUAAAGUAAUCGUUUUAUAAACCAGAAAAUAAUCUUGUCUGAGACUAAACACAUUCCCACCCUCUCCAAAUUUUACACAAAACAUACUUGUGCUUAAUUUUUGGAAAUUACAGUUUUAAAAUGGCAUUGUCCAAAAUAUCGAUGGUUUCUACUACCUAUAGAAUGAGAGACCACAUUUAAAAUUUAAUAUUUUUGUUUAAAAGACACUUUUAAUGCAGAUCUGUGUGUAAAAUUUAAAAAAAAUUUUUCAUGUUGAUGGGGUGUGCAUGAAAAGUGCUCCCCCUCUGUCCCUUUUGUUUUUAAAUGGGGCCUAUGCACAUAUAACAGCCUGCCACUGGAUUUUAACCCCUUAAGGACACAUGAUGGAAAUAUUCCAUCAUGCUUCAAUUUUAUUUCUAAAGUUGUCCUUAAGGGGUUAAUUAAUUUAUUGUUACUCUCUAUGGUUGCUGCAAUUGCCCCUGGUACUGCACUGCAUGUGUUGGGCCAUUCAUUCCUGAAGCAGCACAUUAAUUCUGACUAAUUUCUCUGCUGCAGUAAAUGCAUUCUCCACAUUUCAUGUGCUGCCAAUAGUAUCAACAAUUGGAAGUAAGGAAAAACCUGAAUUCCUCAAACUAAAAGGGUUUAUUUAUUAAACUAUUGUAGUGGAUUUGUAUGGAAAGAGUGGGGUUUGUUUUUACUAAUUUACUGUAACAUGGGCUGUAUUAUAUCCAUUUUCUUUGCACACAAGUUUAUUAUCCCAGAGUAAAUAGCUGCAGUGCAGUUAGUGUUUGAAGGGUUAAUAAGUGCAGUUCCUUGUGCUGGCCAGCAGGGUGUGCCCGAGGGCCGGAAGCACAGUAUUAAAUGUCCGUGUGUCUCCCAGGGCUGGCUCAGUGUGCUGAACUCUGCUGGCAGCUCAGAGGUCUGGCCGGACCCAGACAGGUUCCUGGAGCCAAGAUCGGUCUGCAGCACAACAUCGGCCUCGGGGGAGCAGCGGUGGUCACUCUGUACAGGAUGGGAUUCCCAGGCUCUGCAUCCAGGUGAGAGAGACAGGGGCUGCAGGCUGCCAUGGCCUUAUUAUACAAGAUACAUUGUAUCUCUCUAUCCCAUGGCCUUAUUAUAUAAUGUAUAUUGUAUCUCUCUAUCCCAUGGCCUUAUUAUACAAGAUACAUUGUAUCUCUCUAUCCCAUGGCCUUAUUAUACAAGAUACAUUGUAUCUCUCUAUCCCAUGGCAUUAUUAUACAAGAUACAUUGUAUCUCUCUAUCCCAUGGCUUUAUUAUACAAGAUACAUUGUAUCUCUCUAUCCCAUGGCCUUAUUAUACAACAUACAUUGUAUCUCUCUAUCCCAUGGCCUUAUUAUACAAGAUACAUUGUAUCUCUCUAUCUCAUGGCUUUAUUAUAUAAUGUAUAUUGUAUCUCUCUAUCCCAUGGCCUUAUUAUACAAGAUACAUUGUAUCUCUCUAUCUCAUGGCUUUAUAAUAUAAUGUAUAUUGUAUCUCUCUAUCCCAUCGCUUUAUUAUAUAAUGUAUACAUUGUAUCUCUCUAUCCCAUGGCUUUAUUAUACAUGAUACAUUGUAUCUCUCUAUCCCAUGGCUUUAUAAUAUAAUGUAUACGUUGUAUCUCUCUAUCCCAUGGCCUUAUUAUACAAGAUACAUUGUAUCUCUCUAUCUCAUGGCUUUAUUAUACAAGAUACAUUGUAUCGCUUUAUUAUAUAAUGUAUACAUUGCAUCUCUCUAUCCCAUGGCCUUACUCUAUAAUCUUGUAUACAGUGUGUAAUAAAAAUAUCUCUAUCCUAUGGCCUUGUAUACAAUUUAUAUAAAAAUAUCUCUAUCCUAUGGCCUUGUAUACAAUUUAUAUAAAAAAAAAAAAAAUCUCUAUCCUAUGGCUUUAUCAUAUAAUGUAUUGCAUCUCUCGAUCCCAUGGCUUUAUUAUGUAAUCCUCUUAUACAAUGUAUAUCUUUUUAUAUAAAUAUCUCUAUCCUAUGGCCUUACUGUAUAAUAUAAUAUAAUAUUAUUUAUAUAAAUAUCUCAAUCUCAUGCAGGUGUCUGCAGUGUUUUAUAAAGAUAUUAUACAAUACUGUAUAUUUCCAAACACCCAGCACAGAAUUGCAGAGUAAAAUCACUCUGAUAUAUCAGAUGUAGCUGUUAUCUUAAUGCAUUUAUAAAUAGCAGACACUUGCCAGAUUGACGGCUAAUAACUACCAAACAAUGGUUGCGGUUUGCCCACCCAUGGCCAGUUAAAUCAUUGGGCUUGGUGUUACUUUAAGGUCACUAUACCCUGCAGGUGGGAGAAUCAUGUGGUAUGGCUGGGAAUUGUAUUUAUAAAUUUAUUUUAUUAUGGUUUCCUUUUGUUAUCCAUUCAUGUAUUAGAUGGGUGUAUGAAUGAAUGGCUUGUAUGCAGGCAGCAAGCUGCUCCCUCUGUCACGUGUCUACACUGGGUGGAGAGUUGCAUUGUGGGAAGAUAUUGACAUAACUUGCAUUGACACAUGCAGAGCCUGAUGUUACUGGGACAGAGUUCAGUUUGUUUUACAUUCUCGCGCAGUAGAGUGAUAUUUAUAUUUGUACAGGAUUUUAUUCCUUUAGAAGUACAGUAUUAUUAGGCAAGCAUUAUAAGGUACAUGUAAACUAUAAACCGGUUUCAAAACCUCACGUGAAAUAAAUAAAGCUGUGCGAAAUUGCAGGUGUUCACAGCACUCAACAUUAGGGCAUGCCAGAAAAUGUUCCCUAAAGAGGGGACAAUUUGUUCCUUGGAACAAAACAAUGUCAAUGUGGCUUUCUGGGGGAAGAACAAAAAAUAUCCCAGGUCUCUUCAAUGGGGGCCAUUACUACACCGGUACCUGAGAAGAUAAGACAUUGGUUAUCAGGAUUUGAUUGUAACUUACUUGGGUGCUCUUUAAGAGAAACCAUCAUUCUAGGUAAAGCACAACACUGGGUUAAAUCAGUGGUUCAGGGAUGUCAAAAAUACAGGACAUAAUUUAUUUUUAUAUAUUUUUCUCUUUAAUCUGUGCAAUGAGGCUUUUCCCAGUUUACAUCAGGAUUAACAUUCAUAAAGGCAGCACCCCCUCCCCCUCCAUAUUGAUUACCUUUACUCCUACAACUCUGGCCAUCUCCACUCACAGCUCCAUGAUGUUAAUUGUAUGUGUUGUAUAAAAUUACUGCACUUGCCAGAUGCUAAUGUGUGCAAGGAAGAGCAGGGAUAUGAUUUGGAGGCUGGAACAAGGAGGGGGGGGGGGGAUCUCAGUAGAAGCUGCAAUAUUGGGUUGUGGGAAAAACGUUGAACUGAGUUGACAACUGACCUAACUGUAUUGCUCUGUCCGUUGUACUUUUUAUUAGUUGUUUGAGUUCAUAAGACUAAACACAGCCCUAAACAGCAAACUUCUAAAGUACUAACUUAACUAAUAGUCACACCAUACAGCUUAUGCAGUGUGUUGCUCUGUAUACACCUAUCUUACUACACAGAACUUUUCAAAAUGCUACUUACAAAUAUAUGGCAAAUAACACCUGUUUCUUAUCCGCAGUACGUCGCGUAUCCAGUUGGUGCCAACAAGUGCCGAGGACGGAUUUAAAUGUCAGUUUGUGUUUAAGGAGAUUGAGAAGAAGCUUGAAGAGGUAACGGAGUGCUAGAAUAGUCCCAUUUCUCAUGUAUAAUGUUUUAGAAGUGCUCAGUUAAGGUGUAAUCUGUAACACUGUAGCAAUGAAGUGAUACGAACAGUCAGGGUGAGACCAUGGCAUUAGCCCCAUUAAUGUGCUAGUUACAAACUCGUAUCAAAGAUCGCAGUCCUAAUCACUAGGCAAUCCACUGAUAAGCUGUACAAGGUCUUCGUUCUGAUCAUAGUCCGGUUUCCUCUCGUGCCCUGGAAUAAACUGUUACAAACUGAUUAUACACUGCACAUAUAGGUGAAGGUUAUUUGAAAUCUCUAUACCUGAAUCCAGCAAGUAUAUUAAAACAUUGGCAUUACUUAUGACGUCUGUAUAUCCCUCUCCUCCAUUCAUAUAACAUCAGGCUAAGGAGGCCCGACACCUUUUCUUUAGGAUGGAAAAUUAAAGGGAAAGUCUGUCAAAUGCAUACUGUUUUCAAUGUGCUUGACAGUAAAAAUAUAUACAAUUACAUUUCAACAUUAUUUUCCUAAAAUCCUGCCUCUUCUGUAAGUUCUGCAGCUAAGUUGAUCGAUUCCCUUUUUUUUUUUUUUUUGUUGUGCACAAUAUUAACAAAUAACCUUGGUGCGCCACAACAGCGACAUCAGGGUGAAUUGGUGAACAUUUGCAAUACAAGUUGUGGCAUUCGCUAGACAGGCACAUUUUUAUGUUAGAGAGGUCAGUAUUACAAUAGUUUAGGUUCUCGUUUAAGUGGGUUAGCGAGGUGCACAUGUCAGGAAAGGGUAAACAGAGGAGUGACAUAGAGACGAAGCAUGACAUGUGCAAUCAUUGUAUGAACACGGCUUUACAACAUAGUAUGUGCUAGGUUGAUUCUAUCCUAUCUCUUGUCUGGCUAGGCAGGGAAUAAGUGGAUGCAAAUUACGCUAGACUUAAACCAGAAAUAAGCCUACAGGAAGCGUAUAACAGGCAUUUGUGAAAAUACUGGUGGUUGUGUAUAUGCUUGCCGCUUCGUGUAGUAGGAUGACCCCCAGGACCCGCUUGCCUUUCAGCAGGCGUAUAGAGUGACUCUCUGGGUUGCUCUCCUUCAGGAGAUUCAUUUGGUGUCGCUUCAAUAAAAGCCUCCAAUUUGGCCCAGAAAUCAGCAAAGGUCGCAUCCAGUCGCUCCAGCACAUAUUCAGCCGCACCUCCUCGUGUCUCCAUGGGCUGAUUCAGACCCGGCUGGUGGAGCAGAGACCUGGCCGCCAUCUUAGGUGAGUCAGCCGCUAUCAGGCGUCGUGGUAUGAUAGCUGUGUAGGGUCGACAGAGGUGCCAGCCAGUGGAUACCGGGAUAACCCCCACCGGUCCGGGGGGGGAGAAGAUAGCUUUGUUCACUGGGACCACAUAGUAAAUGAAAGAGCUCGGGCUUGUGUAGGCUGCUGGCCACUACCAGGAUGUACUGGGUCCAGACAGGCUCACAACAACUAUCCUCCGGUGCACCGAAGACCCAUUGGCAAUAUGAGUACUUAUUGUGGUCUGAUUGAUGGGUGGCCCGGGUGUAAAUCUUGAUUUAUUGGGGCCAGAUGCAGGAGCUCUUGCAGAGCAUGUCUGGCUUCCUUGGCAGUCAAGCUCCGCCCCCAAGUGCACACAUUUUAAAGGAAUCUUCCAGUGAAAUUUUAAUUUCUUCUUCUUUCUUUAAAUCACUUAUAGACUGCUUUGCACUUACAGGCAACUAACUGAGCAAGAGAUCAGAACUUCUAAAGUAAACACACUUUCCUAAGCUUUGAAAAUGAAACCCAAGUGUGUAGUGUGGCUUUGGCCAACACUUUGGAAACAAGUGCUUUAAUUUUUGCACUACAGCGAAUUGAGUGAUCCAUAAGAACCAAAACCACUUUAGCUUGGUUGUUUCGGUGGAGUGUCUCUUUAAUGUUUCUUAUCACAAAUGAUUUCUUGUGAUAUUCUGCUACAAUUAAUUUGUGUAGGUCAGUGGUGUAAUGUAGUGAGGACCCUGGUGCAAGAUAUAAUUUAGGCUCUCCCCUCUAGCACAAGUAUAGCCAAAAUAAAUAUCCCCAUCUGUAGUACAACUCACACAAUGCUAUGCCAGCUGGGGGUAUACUAUUUGCCCAUUCUUGCAGUGUUUGUAUGUAAUCAUGUUUUUGUAUAGAGUAAGUGUGUGCGUAUGUAGGGUUGCAUUUGUAUGUACUGUUGCCAUUACAAUGCAGUAGUGUACUUCUAUGUAAUGUGUGCAUUUAAAUGCAGGGGUGCAUUUGUUGUGUAGUGUUGGGUUUGAGUAAAGGGGCGUUCGUAUAUUGUAGUGGAGCUUCAAUAUUCCAGUUAAGUAUCUCUGCUUAAAGGGACACUAUAGUCACCUGAACAACUUCAGCUUAAUAAGGUUGUUCAGGUGAGAACUAUAGCUCCCUGCAGCCUUUCUCAUGUAAACACUGUAUUUUCAUAGAAAAUACAGUGUUUACAUUGGAAGCUAGGAACACCUCCAAUUGCAGUCACUUAGACUGCCAUCAGAGGGACUUCAUAGUUCAUGAAUGCCUAAUUCGCAUUUAUCAUGUUUGACGUCUUCACGCUUGGGUGAAGACCUCAAACGUGCUAUCAGCAGACAGGAGAUAGGAGGCACUGUGAACGCGCCUCCUAUGCCCUGUAGUAACCCAGGAGCCUGUCAGUGAUGAGAGCAGACAGUGUGGGAGAUAAGAUCUCCUGCACACAGUGUAGGCUGGAGCUGACGGGCAGGAGGAUGCAGAGAUCUGACUUCAAACAGUAAGUACACUUAUUUUUCACAUUUUAGAGUGAGAGGUGGAGAUAGAGCUGGAAAGAAAUGGAUAGUGUGUAUGUUUAACCAUAUUUAUUUAAAAUCUGUGUGUUUUUAUACAAACCCUAUAGAGAUUUCUCUAUUAUUACUGUUUGCAUACUAACUUUGGGCUGGAGGGUUGCCGUAGGAGGGGGGCGGGCAUAGACAGAAAGAUGAGCUCUUGCGGUAGAGCGCUGAGUUCAUUCAUAGGGCGGCAUUUGAUGCCGCUCUAUGAAGAACACGAUUGGUGCCGCGCAAAGUCGCGCAUGCCCACCAGAUUGCUAGGACUUCUUCUCUACGAAGCGUCUGAACCCUGCCACUUUGUCAUUUUGACGAAAAAGGGGACGCGGCCUGACAGGGAUCUCUGUGCUGGAAUGGAGGUAAGUGUGGUGUUUUUUUUCUUCUAUGAUAAAGACUUGGAUUGAUUUAUUUUUUUUUUUUAUUAUUUUUUUUUUUUUAUUUUUUUAAAUGGGAAGUUCAUAUAAAAGCAAGAAAGACGGCUAGGGGACCUGUCUGUCUUGCUUUUAUAUGUUGACUAUAGUGAUCCUUUAAUUCCCUUUGUAGCUGGAAGAAAUGCUGUUUAGUAAAUAUAGCUCUUUCCCCCAGUAACUAGACAACCCAAAGUUCUGGGAGUACAACUGAUUUUUAUUGUCACAGUACAGUCUUAUAUACACCUAUUCAACUCAGAGUAAGCUCGCCCUGGUGUUUCUGUGUCUGGAAGACAAGAGUUAGUACUUGCUAAAACAAAUUAUCUCCCGGACACAGAGGACACCGCACAACUCCAUAAAAAUAAGCAGGAACACCAGAACAUUAUAUAUCCCCAGAUAGCUCUGAUCCGAGCACCCAUGUUGGCAAAAUAGUGCCCGGAUCUAUGGAGAAUAGGCAAAUCGCCACCCGGGUAAAAAUUUGACUAGCCACUAACUGGUCCAUGCAGAAGAGUUCCAGAGUAAGUCUCUUGGGUCAGUCAAGUAUUGGGAGCUCGUGCAGACAAUAAAGGGAUCCUUCUGACUCUCAGGGAGCGAUUUCUUGCCUUCAGUCUAUAGUGCCUCUGCCUCAAGUAGCACUGGCGGGUCUGUCAGGAAGUGGGAAAAAUGAAGUAAAAGUUGGCCAGGAAAUGUGAGUAGGCGUGGCUGAGCUGGAGUGCCAUAAGUUUAUUACCAAGUCUCGCUGGAGUCCCGGUCAGUCGGGGGAGAGAGGCACUCUCGAGUGUUUAGCAUGGAGAGGGUAGGAAAGCUCGCUAGGGGUAGUGAAUUAGUCUUUUGAUGAAAAGAUGGGGUAAUAACACAGGGUUUGCCAUAUAUAUUUUUGGCAUAUAAUUCACGGGAGUGUUUGUAAUAUAUUCGUUUUAAAUGCAGAGGUGUUUGUAUGUAGUGAUGGCUUUUAAAUGAGUGUACAUUUGUGUUUUGGUGUUUGAAUGAAGGGAUGUGUUUAUACAUAACUUUGGCAUUUGACUGCAGGAGUGUUUGCAUUUAGUGUUGGCGUUUGAUUGCUGGGAUGCAUACGCAUAUAAACAUACCCUGCUACAUACAUAUUUACACAGAUGCACACUCAUACACUGACACACACGUAUGUCGAAGCUAUAAUAUUUUUAGCCACCUACCUAUUAACAUACCUUUUUUAUGUGCUUGAGCGGGGCUUCCAAGGGUCCUGCUGGAUGAGGUUGAUAGUAGUGUGGAGCUGGGUCUCUUUGCUCUCCUCCUCCUGCAGUUCUUCCUCCAUCUCUGUCCUGCUCUGUGUGUAGCGGCAGCCUGGGAGAAAGGGACAGCCUCCCAUGCUGCCCAUACUACAGGGACCCGGUUGCUCUCUUCAAGGGCUGCAGUGCUCGACUGGCCCCUGUUCAGCAAUACCCAUCGGGUGGCCCUAAGUGUAUGGGUUACCAGCUGUAGUUCUGCCACUGGUGUCGGUGUACCUGAUUUGCAAUUUUAUUAAAGUUUCUAAGAGUAGGGCUACCCCAAGGGAAAACCUUGCUUGGAAAUGGAACCAGAAUGUGCCACAAGAAGAUUAUGGGAAAAGACAGGUAAUCUGAAUAAAGCACCCAGCCCAUGCAGUAGUCCUAUAUCUGUGUAAUGUUAUCAAUACAUUUUAAAGUUACUUUUCUCAUUAGACUAGGAGUGAAAAAUGUAUUCGUCUUGAAUGGUAGAUCCAGUUUGCUUUGUUGGCAUAACUCUGUCCUUUUUACAAUACAGUAUAUAUACAUCGUUAUAUUAUUGCGCUUAACUUCUUGUUUGGUUUGACUACUGAAGGAAGGAGAUCAAUUCGUAAAGAAGAUCGGUGGUAUAUUUUCUUUCAAAGUGAAAGACGGGCCUGGGGGCAAAGAAGGGACCUGGGUGGUUGAUGUGAAGAAUGGCAAAGGAUCUGUGUCCACUAGCUCAGGUGGGUUCCAAAACAUACAUGUGUCAUGAACUAGAACAUACAAGGAUACAGCUGAUUGUUAAAGGGCUUGGGGUUCUGGUUGUUGAAUGAGAAUGUUUUAUGUCUUGCAUUGUAAGCUUGCUUGAUCAGGGCUUUCAUUAACAAUUGUGUAUGGUCAUUUUUAUAUGCCAAUUACCUGUCAAAUAUCAGCAUUCUAGAACUGUAAAGCAUUGCAGAAUAUUUUGGCACUAUAUACCUAAUAACCCAUAGUAAUGUCCACCUCUUUCAGAUAAGAAGGCAGAUUGUACCAUCACUAUGUCAGACGCUGAUUUAUUGGCCUUGAUGACUGGGAAACUCAACCCUCAGACGGUGAGCAUUCAAAAUGUGUUGCAUGAAUGAAAAGCUCAGAACAGGAUUUGAAAAUAACAGAUCUCAGAUUGGCUAGUAGAAAUUUUCUGUACAUUUUGUCAUUUUUUGAGUUGUAGGGAAUUCGAAGUGAAAUUAAAAUUCUAGAUCAAUACACCCACAUUAGAAAUAUUCUCAAAUUAACUGUUUUAAGUUUGCAUACCUCCCAACUUUGAGAGGUAUGAUUUGUGUAACAAAGGGGUGAGAAUGGAUUACCAGCCUGGAGUGAGUGCACCCAAGACUCAUUAACGGCCACUCUGGCCAGCACACUUGGCGUUAUUGAAGUUCUGUCUGUCUAUGGGGUCAGAGCUCCAAAGGAGGUUGAGCACUUUCUAUUAAUGAAUCAAUUGUCUCUGAAGUUUUAAGUCAUGGAAUAAACUUUCCAUUCUAAACCCUGAAUAGUCGAAGUGACUUAUAUUUUGUCAACAUAGACAAACUCAAUAUGUCAAAAAUAAAUAAAUCCCAUUUGAUUGCUUCCUCCUUUAGUUAUUGUAGCACUUUUGGGGGCCCAUUUUAAAAUCUCCUCCUCCAUUGUCCUGGAAUACCAUUUAACACUAUAAUAGAAGCAUUGUCUUUGUCCUCUGCAAGGGAUUCUGAUGCGUCUCUGCUUUCUGAAUGCAGUAGCUGCUGCACACUAUAGAAACAAAGAAUGUACUGAACUUAGUUUUUGAGAUGUGGCAUGCCAUUCCAUUAUUUGGGAAUGUGUCUUUAAUAUACCAUUGUCUUUAAUAUUCUUUCUCUUCCAGGCAUUUUUUCAGGGAAAGCUGAAAAUCGCUGGAAACAUGGGAAUGGCCAUGAAAUUACAGAGUUUGCAGCUGCAACCUGUGAAGGCGAAGCUGUGAAGAGAUCCAUGGUUGGACCCCUUUUUGAUUGCAGCCGGGAUUGACUUAUGUAGUGGAUCAUAAUUCUAUCUUCCUCCUCCAUUUCCAGACAGGCAUUGUGAAGCAGCAUCGGUCCGGGAGAAGUGGGAUGCAUGUGUACUGGAUGAACACACUUGUCUCUCUCUCUCUCCCUCCCUCUCUUUGGGUAUCUUCCUGUUUGUAAAGCAUGAGUAUUCUCUAAUUAUACAGGAUUGCUUGUGCAUCGUACUGGGAACAUGAAUGUCCUUUUUUUGUACACACUUCUUGAAUACAUGCAUUGACCCGUGCUCUUGCAUGAUCUCUUUGCAUUUCCCGUAUGCCUGUAUAUGUGGAUUACUCUGCCCCACAUCUGCAGAAACACAUGUGAUACAUGCCUGUCUAGCACUUAAAGGGUCUGUAAACUGAUCAUGGGUUCCCAUCUAUGAUCAACCAUUUCACCUCUGUGGACAGUCUCUUUUUGCUUCAAGUAACUCUCUGGUCCUUUUUUCUAAUAGAGUAUUAAUCUAAUUUCAAAAGACAAAAAAAUUACUUAAUUUGAAUAACUGUACCAGCUAAAUACUGAUUGCCCUGGUUAAACAGAGCAAACUGUUCCUCGGGAAGAGACUACCAGAUCUACCCUUUUUGGGGGGCUUUAUAGAAUACUUGACUAAUUUGUUAAUAGUAUGAAAAUAUUAACUUUAAUAAAAUCUCAGAUUUCCAUGUGUU